This 442-nucleotide ribosomal RNA is filed under the name uncultured bacterium. Its description in RNAcentral is "partial 16S ribosomal RNA". It matches the Rfam family "Bacterial small subunit ribosomal RNA", at positions 338 to 795 of the family's 1533-position model. The record is from RNAcentral.
CCUACGGGAGGCAGCAGUGGGGAAUAUUGGGCAAUGGGCGCAAGCCUGACCCAGCAACGCCGCGUGAAGGAAGAAGGCUUUCGGGUUGUAAACUUCUUUUGACAGGGAAGAGCAGAAGACGGUACCUGUCGAAUAAGCCACGGCUAACUACGUGCCAGCAGCCGCGGGAAGACGUAGGUGGCAAGCGUUGUCCGGAUUUACUGGGUGGAAAGGGCGUGUAGCCGGGCUGACAAGUCAGAUGUGAAAUCCGGGGGGUCAACCCCCGAACUGCCUUUGAAACUGUUGGUCUUGAGUAUGGGAGAGGCAGGCGGAAGUCCUAGUGUAGCGGUGAAAUGCGUAGAUAGUAGGAGGAACACCAGUGGCGAAGGCGGCCUGCUGGACGACAACUGACGGUGAGGCGCGAAAGCGUGGGGAGCAAACAGGAUUAGAUACCCCAGUAGUC